UUUACUAUAAUUGUUUGUGUGAAGCUAUAAUGCUCCUAUUUUCGUUUUAUUUGAGCUAAUUGGAUGGGUGUGCUGUACGUUGAGGCCUGUUUGGCUUGGUGAACUUGCCUUUUUUUGGCCCAUUAUGUGUGCGUUUCCAUUUCAUAAGCUGCUUUUGUAGCAUUUUUAUGACCGUUUCAAUGUUAGGGAUGACAAACCAGCCAUUGUUCUAUUAUUCUGCCAGUACAGUGUUGUCUGGCUUUCCGUCCAUUCUGUGCCCGGUGAGGACUGUAACCUGGCAUAGGUCUCCCAAGUUUGUGUUUUAAGCCUUUGGAUGCUGACUAAAUUGUUCCUUCUGCUAAAAAUGCCAGCCCGAUGAUUGUGUGUGCUGUUUCUAAUUGUAUAAAAAGGUAGGAUUGCGGUCACUGAUGGUGUAGUGGUACACUCGCCUGACUGUGGUGCAGGCAGCGUGGGUUCAGUUCCCACUCAGUGACGGUGUGAAUGUGAGUGCGAAUCGUUGUCCGUGUCUAUAUGUACCCUGCGACUGACUGGCGACCAGUUCAGGGUGUAGUCCGCCUUUCGCCCGAUCAGCUGGGAUAGGCUCCAGCGUCCCGCAACCCUAACCAGGAUAAGCGGUGUUAAAAAUGGAAGAGUAAUCACCCUGGAAUCUAACACACUUUGCCAGCCUUCUCCGCUACGCCUUCAUGCACUCCUGCAAGGAUUUUUCCGGGAUCCUCCACAGCUCCGUCGUCAUGGCCAUCCGUCUUGAUGUCGUCCCCUUGAGGCGUCACGAGCUUGGGAAAGAGGGGAAAAAAAAUCCCACGGAGCCAAGUCGGUCGGAAACUCCGGGGCUCCCCGUCGACUGGAGCCAAGCGUGUGAGGGGAGUGUUGAUUCGCACUGCCAAAUGUCACCUCUGUGCAGUCGUUGCACUGGAGUCCAUCCGGCGGGCCAUCGGGGGCUUUAAAGCGCCCAAGGGGUAAGGUAAAGACUACUUUCUGUUUUAUAUGAGUGGAGACGUCUGCUGCUGGGUGCUUGUUAACGCCCCCCUAAGCAGCGCUGUUGCUUUCAUCUUCUGUGGUGUGUCCAGACAUCUUCUACCAGUGGUCCACUCGUCCGCCGCCGACAUCAAAGCCGUCGAGCUCCAGCUGAGAUGUUUAUCUGCUUCCAAGUCUUGAAGCCACCCAGCCAAGAGGAUCAAUAGUGGGCUCUCGCCAUCUGUGUCCCAUGCUCUGCUCGACGCGAACGCUAGGUUUCCAGAUGUGCCAGGGGUCAGGGGUUAAAGAUAAAAGUACCAGGAUGUGGCGGUACCCCCACUCGAAGACAGUUGCAGUGUGCGCAUUCCUCACCGGAGGGGGCCGACGAGCCGAGUGCCUCGCGUUUCUUCUUUCCGCCGCUCGCUGUCGGAGGCCUCGUUUCGCAGCCGAGAGUUACGACACCGCAACUUCUACUUACUGGCUGUGUUUACCAAAAGGUAAAAUGUCAGCCGUGUUAAACAUACUGCGGGGAAGUUGUUCGCUGCUCUUAAAACUUGCCUCCGACCCGCCCUGCAGGGGGCGGCCACCACACGUGUUAAAAUCAUACAUCUUUUAUCACCCAGAAAAAUGAAAUCAGUUAGCACCACAUCCGUGAUUAGAAAUCCUCUAGAGGAACUUAAAGUGCGUAACAUAACGGGGCGGGACUCAUGGCGUUUCACCCCCUGCCUGGCACCCAGCGAUAGCGAUACAGACAUCACAAGUUGUGUAGGAGAGUCUAUUACGUCAACGUCCCCCCAGAAAUUGGGCUAAUUUCACAAAAAUGCUAAUACGAUUAUUUUGAGUGUGUCAGAGGCUUAAUAAGUGUGAAAAUUGGCCUGUCAUAUAAGACCUGGGGGCGCUGCUAAAUUGCGUGAUUACAGCGGCAAAGCCUCGACCUCCCGUAUUGUUUCCUAACAUAUCGUAAUCUGCAAAAAUUGAAAAUAGAUCGGACAACUUCAUUAGGAUUCGUAAAAUUGGUAAUGCGACAGCGACAACUUUAUUUUGCGGUAUUAUGCUAAUUAUGAGAUUUAGAGGAUGUAAAAAGAUUACACGUCCCCUUGAGAGCACUUCUUUUAUUAUUCAUUUUGAACUUUAAGGUUGGGGGCUCACCCCCAAAAUUGUGUACCGAUUGAAUUGUGUAAAAAUCAGUGAUCUAAAGAUUUCCGUAUGUUUUUACCAACAUUUGUUAAGAUUUUUACAUAGCUACUCAAGUGAUAUUUGUACAUAACAGACUGUUGUCAUUGUUAGAGAGCUAGACUUUUGUUUUCCCGCAAGUGGCAAUGCAGGUUACAAAAUAUUGUUUCGAGACAAAACCAUAUGCCGUGUUUUAAAAAACAACAAAAAAAAAAAUAUUAAGAAAAUGAUUUAAAUUUGGUCAACGUGACAAUUUCGGAGUCCGCGUGUAUUUUUUAAAAUAUUUAAUUAUUUAUUUUUUAAGCCAUGGCUACUAGGAGUGAGGCAGCCAAACAAUGUGCUGUUAGACUGAAUUUCUGCAAAAUGUUGUUUUGCUUUCAAGUGGAACAAUAUGGAUAUACAGUAUGGCAGCGUAAACGGGGAAAAAAGAAAACAACAACAUGAAAUUGUUUAUCUUCACAUCGGAAUCAGGCCUCAUCCAAAUGUGGAAACAAAUCCAACGUAUUGGAUAUUGCGACGUUGACGCACAGAUUGGCGAUUCCUUUUGAAUGCGAGCUUGAUGUCAUCGAAAAAUACACCUGUACCCAAACAACACAAAUAAUCACACACCGUGAAUCUAAACUACAGCAAAACCGUAGACAAGUAAAUAUAGUCUAAAUAUGAUGCAUUAGACUCAUUAAAUAAGCACAGUAAUUGCCAAUGGCGGCUAGUGAGUGGAGUGAUGUGGUCAGUAACUACUGGUUAUAACAUCAUUGAAAUCAAUAGAGGGAAGAGUCAGUCCAGGCCAAACAAACGCCAUGUGAUAUUUAUUUUUUAUUUUCAUUUUUUUUUUACUUCCAUGUUGUCACUGCAGAGUGGAGUUACUUUUGUGCAAUUUGUGAGUCUGCGCAUGCGCGUUGUUCCAUCACUCCCACAUUGAGUAUGUGUCACUUGAAAUACUCACGUACAGAGACAAUAAUAAAAAACAGAUACAAGCAUUAAAUUCGAAUGGGGAACGUAGACCAUCACCUGCAAUGUAAAUAAAGCCUCUGACAUGGCUUCAAAAAUUAUUUUGUUCCUUCUUAUAUCUGUGCAUUGAAAUGUUAUUUUUCCCUAUCAAUAAAUAUAUUUUUCUACCAUUAUUUUAGCUGUUGCCUGGGUGUGUGUAUGGUAUUUUUUUAGGGUUUUAGCAUUGUCUUUCAAAAGAGGUGGACAUUUUGUGAGGGAGUGUUUUGGAAGGGGGAGAGGCUAGAGUUUGUCUUUGACUUGUUGACGAGCUUCUACAGGACCACUAGAUGGCGUCAGAUCCUUCAGGAGAGCUUUGGGACCUCCACACAAGCCCGGACAAACCCAUGAAAGUGGAGCACGGGACGCCACAGACUUGCACUGAGACCGCAGCCUCGUCGUCCAGUGCCCUCGCACCGUUGGAGAAACAUAGCCCGCACAAUGUCUUUUUUAAUUGUAUUUAUUUAUUUUUUAUUUUUUUGUCAUAUUGACAAUUCUCACCACUUUUUUUUUUUGAUCGCGUUUGGCUUUUCCCCGAAGCUGUAAUUAUGUCGAAAAUGGCUUGGAUUCCAAAUGUUGUUUUGAAUAUGACGCAUCAAAUAGCUGUUAUUACAACUGAAUAACAGAGCUUUUGAAGUAGAAACAAAUGCAUGUCCCAGUCUCUAAUGGAGGUAAAAGGAUAUACAUGGGAUAGCCUUAAGUGUUGAUAAAAGUAGAAUUGUUGUGAUUGAAGUGCGUUAAAACAAUGGUAGGAAAAUAAACAAACAAAAAAACAACAGCACUGGUACCCGUAUUAACUGUUGCUACGCAGACAUGGUGUCACCCGUCCUGACACAACAUAUUUAAGCACUCGUCCCACAGGAGUCAACUCAUGUCAGUAGACGUUUAAUGUUGUGAAAUGAGGCAAAAAACAAAACUCUAGUUUCACUCCAUCUCUGGCGUGCAUUGUACCGUUUAGCAUUGACUUGGAGUGUUUUGCGUCACGCUUGUAAAUAAUGCAUUGUUGCACACAGCCUUUAUGAAUAUUAUAUUAUAAUAUAAUAAAGUAUGUUUGAUUUGAACAAGCGGUGCAUUUUCAUUGCAUCAAACUAAAUGAUUUUUUGUUUGUUUUUUUGCAUUAGUUCAACUGCUGCUGCGCCUCUUCAAUAUAAAACAGUCAAUUAGAACUGCAGUGCAGUGAAUGACCGAUUGUUGGUAGCCCUUCCUGCUUCUGAAAUAUUAAAUGCCUAAUAUGUCA
Molecule: long non-coding RNA, 4348 nt
Organism: Phyllopteryx taeniolatus (common seadragon)
Lineage: Eukaryota; Metazoa; Chordata; Actinopteri; Syngnathiformes; Syngnathidae
Exons: 7
Source: RefSeq, a predicted model, not a curated record